CUAGACUUCACGAAAGUGAAAUAAGCCACUGGUUGCCACCCAUGAAUGAAGGGGGCUCCAAUAGCUGGCUACUCAGUUUGUUUUUGGCAAAGAGCAUAGAGCACGAACCUAGCACUUCAAGCAUAGUGCACAGAAUUGUGACAGGCACCUUGGACACUCUAAACCAGGAGAAUUGAGAAUCUUAUUGGAAAGCUUUUGGGCCGAGAAGGUACAUGAUCCCUG
Molecule: long non-coding RNA, 222 nt
Filed under: Homo sapiens (human)
Lineage: Eukaryota; Metazoa; Chordata; Mammalia; Primates; Hominidae
Description: non-protein coding lnc-INO80D-3:1
Source: RNAcentral